CUCAAGCUUUAGGGGUGUCUACAAGACUUUGUAGGCUGAGACUUCACCCUUGGAACCUGAUCUAGUUAAUACUAGCGUAGGGAAAAGUAAGAUGACUUCA
RNAcentral lists this non-coding RNA (100 nucleotides) under Myroides profundi. RNAcentral's name for it is "TPP sequence". It matches the Rfam family "TPP riboswitch aptamer (THI element)". From Rfam's summary of the family: Vitamin B(1) in its active form thiamin pyrophosphate (TPP) is an essential coenzyme that is synthesised by coupling of pyrimidine and thiazole moieties in bacteria. The previously detected thiamin-regulatory element, thi box was extended, resulting in a new, highly conserved RNA secondary structure, the THI element, which is widely distributed in eubacteria and also occurs in some archaea. Analysis of operon structures identified a large number of new candidate thiamin-regulated genes, mostly transporters, in various prokaryotic organisms. The record is from RNAcentral. Lineage: Bacteria; Pseudomonadati; Bacteroidota; Flavobacteriia; Flavobacteriales; Flavobacteriaceae.